GUGGGGAAUCUUGCGCAAUGGGCGAAAGCCUGACGCAGCCAUGCCGCGUGAAUGAUGAAGGUCUUAGGAUUGUAAAAUUCUUUCACCGGGGACGAUAAUGACGGUACCCGGAGAAGAAGCUCCGGCUAACUUCGUGCCAGCAGCCGCGGUAAUACGAAGGGGGCUAGCGUUGCUCGGAAUUACUGGGCGUAAAGGGCGCGUAGGCGGACAGCUUAGUCAGAGGUGAAAGCCCAGGGCUCAACCUUGGAAUUGCCUUUGAUACUGGCUGUCUUGAGUCUGGGAGAGGUGAGUGGAACUCCGAGUGUAGAGGUGAAAUUCGUAGAUAUUCGGAAGAACACCAGUGGCGAAGGCGACUCACUGGCCCAAUACUGACGCUGAGGCGCGAAAGCGUGGGGAGCAAACAGGAUUAGAAACCCCAGUAGUCC
This 425-nucleotide ribosomal RNA is filed under the name uncultured bacterium. Its description in RNAcentral is "partial 16S ribosomal RNA". It matches the Rfam family "Bacterial small subunit ribosomal RNA", at positions 354 to 796 of the family's 1533-position model. The record is from RNAcentral.